GUGGCGAACGGGUGAGGAACACGUGAGAAACCUGCCCCAGACUUUGGGAUAACAAAUGGAAACGUUUGCUAAUACCAAAUACCGUCGGAGAGUCACAUGACUUUCUGACGAAAGGUAUUCCGGUUUGGGAGGGUCUCGCGGCCUAUCAGCUAGUUGGCGGGGUAAUGGCCCACCAAGGCAACGACGGGUAGCUGGUCUGAGAGGAUGGUCAGCCACACUGGGACUGAGACACGGCCCAGACUCCUACGGGAGGCAGCAGUGGGGAAUCUUGCGCAAUGGGCGAGAGCCUGACGCAGCAACGCCGCGUGCGGGAAGAGGGCUUACGGGCUGUAAACCGCUUUCAGCAGGAACGAAAAUGACGGUACCUGCAGAAGAAGGACCGGCCAACUAU
This 391-nucleotide ribosomal RNA is filed under the name uncultured eubacterium 4-45. RNAcentral's name for it is "bacterial SSU rRNA". It matches the Rfam family "Bacterial small subunit ribosomal RNA", at positions 95 to 504 of the family's 1533-position model. Lineage: Bacteria; Bacillati; Actinomycetota; Actinomycetes. The record is from RNAcentral.